This 253-nucleotide ribosomal RNA is filed under the name uncultured bacterium. Its description in RNAcentral is "partial 16S ribosomal RNA". It matches the Rfam family "Bacterial small subunit ribosomal RNA", at positions 524 to 776 of the family's 1533-position model. The record is from RNAcentral.
UACGUAGGGCGCAAGCGUUGUCCGGAAUUAUUGGGCGUAAAGAGCUCGUAGGCGGCUUGUCACGUCGAUUGUGAAAGCUCGGGGCUUAACCCCGGGUCUGCAUUCGAUACGGGCUAGCUAGAGUGUGGUAGGGGAGAUCGGAAUUCCUGGUGUAGCGGUGAAAUGCGCAGAUAUCAGGAGGAACACCGGUGGCGAAGGCGGGUCUCUGGGCCGAUACUGACGCUGAGGAGCGAAAGCGUGGGGAGCGAACAGG